GACGAACGCUGGCGGCGUGCUUAACACAUGCAAGUCGAACGGAAAGGCCCCUUUGGGGGUACUCGAGUGGCGAACGGGUGAGUAACACGUGAGUAACCUGCCCUUGACUUCGGGAUAACUUCAGGAAACUGGGGCUAAUACCGGAUAGGAAUCCUUGCUGCAUGGUGGGGGUUGGAAAGCUUCGGCGGUUUUGGAUGGACUCGCGGCUUAUCAGCUUGUUGGUGGGGUAGUGGCUUACCAAGGCUUUGACGGGUAGCCGGCCGGAGAGGGCGACCGGCCACAUUGGGACUGAGAUACGGCCCAGACUCCUACGGGAGGCAGCAGUGGGGAAUAUUGCACAAUGGGCGGAAGCCUGAUGCAGCAACGCCGCGUGCGGGAUGACGGCCUUCGGGUUGUAAACCGCUUUCAGCAGGGGCGAAGCUUGUGGUGACGGUACCUGCAGAAGAAGCACCGGCUAACUACGUG
This 465-nucleotide ribosomal RNA is filed under the name uncultured bacterium. RNAcentral describes it as "partial 16S ribosomal RNA". It matches the Rfam family "Bacterial small subunit ribosomal RNA", at positions 28 to 507 of the family's 1533-position model. The record is from RNAcentral.